AUGGCGUCUCUUUCUGAUGCCAACUCCACCACGAAUGGCGGCGACGCCUCCGUGGCUGCAAGAUCGGAUCUGGGAGAUUUCCUUGAUCAGCUGGAUCUCAACGAUGAAGAGUUUGCUGAUGUUGAGAUUAAUGAGGACGACCCUGUGAUCCAGGAAAGCGUUUGUUGGCUUGCCCUUGCUAGGGUUCAUACAAACAAAAAUUUCAGCCCUUCUGCCUUUUACAAGGAUAUGAGGGCCGCGUGGAACCCGACGCAAAGUGUUAGAUUUCGGCCAGUCGGCCCUAAUUGUUUUGUCGUCCAAGCAUCCUGCUUGGGGGAUUGGGAACACAUCAUGUUUCAGGGUCCAUGGUUGUUUCGUAGUAUGGCGGUGCUCUUGUGCCCGUAUGAUGGUUUCAGCAAAGCAGAGGAGGUAGAAUUCCAUCACCUGCCAUUUUGGCUGCAAAUCCACAAGUUGUCGGACCCAUUCUGCAAACAGAAUAUUGUGGAGAAGCUUCUGAAGAAAUCAGGUGAGAUUAUGGAUAUGCACUUGAAUGGGAAUACAAGGGGUGAUUACAUAAGCGUGAGGGUUAAGCAUGAUAUCCACCUGGAUCUUACAAAAUAUGUCAGUAUUAUUCGUGCCAAGGAACGUCAGGUGUACUUGGUUCGUUAUGAAAAACUUGCCAAAUUUUGUAAGCUAUGUGGCCUCAUUAGCCAUGAUCACAAAGAAUGUGGACCGGGGGUUCACGAUGAGAAGGCGCUCAAGUUCGGUGACUAG
RNAcentral lists this ribosomal RNA (753 nucleotides) under Triticum aestivum (bread wheat). Its description in RNAcentral is "partial small subunit ribosomal RNA". Lineage: Eukaryota; Viridiplantae; Streptophyta; Magnoliopsida; Poales; Poaceae. The record is from RNAcentral.